Molecule: ribosomal RNA, 253 nt
Filed under: uncultured bacterium
Lineage: Bacteria
Description: partial 16S ribosomal RNA
Rfam family: Bacterial small subunit ribosomal RNA
Source: RNAcentral
UACGUAGGGCGCAAGCGUUGUCCGGAAUUAUUGGGCGUAAAGAGCUCGUAGGUGGUGUGUCGCGUCUGCCGUGAAAGCCCGGGGCUUAACUCCGGGUCUGCGGUGGAUACGGGCAGACUAGAGGCAGGUAGGGGAGAACGGAAUUCCUGGCGUAGCGGUGAAAUGCGCAGAUAUCAGGAGGAACACCAGUGGCGAAGGCGGUGCUCUGGGCCGGAACUGACGCUGAGGAGCGAAAGCGUGGGGAGCAAACAGG